This is an RNA transcript of Humulus lupulus (European hop), 1672 nucleotides long. It is a transcript of the gene named probable 2-carboxy-D-arabinitol-1-phosphatase, with no coding region annotated. The record is from RefSeq and is a predicted model, not a curated record. NCBI's taxonomy places the organism in Eukaryota, Viridiplantae, Streptophyta, Magnoliopsida, Rosales, Cannabaceae. The transcript is spliced from 9 exons.
UAGUAUAUGCGCAUGUGACAAGGAGUCACAACACAACCAAGGGUGACCCCUCAAAACAAAACAUAGCAAAUUAUUAAAAGAAGAAAAAUCUCAUCAGCCCAACUGAGCUGAGGUAUAGCACUAGCAGCAGCGACCACCGAACAAAGAUGGUUUUUUGUGGAAUUCUGACCCCAACAACAGCAACCACUUAUUUAUGUUCAAGUUCCCAUAGCAGACCUCAUAAUAAGCAGCUCCAGUACCAGGCUCUUUCGUUUGUUAAACAUAGGAUUCACUGCUCAAAUUCUAACCCAGAUAUGCCUCUAAUCUCAUCUGAUGAACUACUACUUCAGAACAACAUACCUCCCAUGACUGGUGGUGCAUUUGAUUUCAAGAGAGCCACAACAUCUCUUACCGAUCAAAUCAUCUCUUCACCAAAGAGGGUUACACUUGUACGCCAUGGACUUAGCACCUGGAAUGAAGAGAGUAAAAUUCAGGGGAGCUCAAACAUGUCUGUCCUAACAGAUAGGGGAAUCAAUCAAGCAGAGAGGUGCAAAAAAGCCUUGGCCAAUAUCUAUUUCGACGCCUGUUUCUCAAGUCCGAUAUCUCGAGCAAAGUCCACUGCUGAGAUUAUGUGGCAAGGGAGAAAAGAGCCAUUGAUUUAUCUCGAUUCACUUAAGGAGGCCCAUUUGUUUUUCCUUGAAGGCAUGAAAAAUGUGGAUGCGAAGAAGAUAUAUCCGAAAGAGUAUAAAACAUGGAGAGAGGAUCCAGCUAGCUUUCAUGUGAAUGGAAUUUACCCUUUAAGAGAAGUAUGGAGAACAGCACGAGAUGCUUGGAAGGAGAUCUUGUUAACUCCUGGGGAUCAGUUCUUGAUUGUCACUCACAAAUCAAUUUUGAGAGCAUUGAUCUGCACGGCUUUGGGGCUAGGCCCAGAGAGGUUCCGUGCAACUGACGUGAAUAAUGGCGGAGUAACAGUAUUCAAAUUUAACACGAGAGGAGAAGCAAUGCUUCAGUCAUUGAAUAUGACUUCCCAUAUGUAUAGUGACCAUGUCUAUUUGAUCUAAAAACAACAAGAGGAAUAAAUGUCAGCCCUGCCUCUGCUACAUAGAAUUUGAUGAGCUGCUGGAUGGAUAAACUCACCAGCACCAAGAGCUAAGAAAGGAAAAACCAAAUGAUGAAUGUGGCUGUCAAAGAGGUUGAAAGAGUGGUCAGUUUUGCCUUUUUUCUGAGAUGCCAACACUGAAGCAAAGCUUUAAUCAUCAGGUGGGAAAUCCUCAUCCGAGGCAUUCUCAAAAAGGGAACCCAAAGUUUUCCUCAAAAUGCUGAAAGUUUUGUCGUCCUGAAUCCAAAUAGGAAUGCUAAUUAGAACUGGCAGAAAGAGACCCAAAUGGCUUGAGCUCAGAAAACCUGAAGUUUAUGAUUAGUAAUUUAGUAUAUACCUGAGUUUUCCUUUUCAGAGACUCCUCCAAUCGAGUAAUUUUAUCUCCGCAAGCUUUCUCAUGUUCUGACAUCAUACUCUUUUCUUUCUUCCCUGAUGUCAUUUAUUUACAACAAGACUACUGUAAUUACAUUUCUCUACAAGGGAAUGAAAAGAGUAGUGCCCUGUAAACUUACUCAUUUGUUCAUAUCGCUUUAAAAGCCUUUCCUUCUCUUCUUCAAACUUGGAAAUGAUAUCUGACACCAGAAAAUGAAUCUA